Long non-coding RNA from Stegodyphus dumicola, 517 nucleotides. Lineage: Eukaryota; Metazoa; Arthropoda; Arachnida; Araneae; Eresidae. The record is from RefSeq and is a predicted model, not a curated record.
UUCAGGCAUAAAUCAAAGUAUGAUUUGAAACGUGCGCGAACAUCUAACUGUUAAAAAGUUGCCGAAGAUUCCGAAUAUUUCGGGAAUUUAUUCAAGUAAGAUAAAAUGUAGAGUGGUUGCAAAAGACAUCCAUUCAUCUCCGGAAUGGCAAGAAAAAUCGUGUUCUCUGGCAAGCAGCACUCGAGCAGUCUUCAGUUGCUCUUAACGAAGUAUCAUUACAAUGAAAAAUAGGAAGAGACAGACGAAAGUUUAGAGCUAGUAGCUUGGAGUCGGAUGAAAGAUAACUUGAUCUACGUUCUUUGGGAACAGAUGUCCGAUUCUCAAAGAUUUUGAAAUCGUAAGGAAUGGGAGAAAGAAAGAAAAAAAAGUUAUCAGUGUUGCCAUAAGAAAAAUAAUGUGCGCCACAAAAAUUUGUUUACUGAAUAGAUUUUCAUUACUAUUACUACCCUAACUUCAGUUAAUUUAUCAUAAUAUACUCAAAUUCAAUAAAGUUAAUUUCCAGCCAUUUUCUCAAAAA